RNAcentral lists this ribosomal RNA (497 nucleotides) under uncultured bacterium. RNAcentral's name for it is "partial 16S ribosomal RNA". It matches the Rfam family "Bacterial small subunit ribosomal RNA", at positions 28 to 507 of the family's 1533-position model. The record is from RNAcentral.
GAUGAACGCUGGCGGCGUGCCUAAUACAUGCAAGUCGAGCGAGCAGACGAGGAGCUUGCUCCUCUGACGUUAGCGGCGGACGGGUGAGUAACACGUGGAUAACCUACCUAUAAGACUGGGAUAACUUCGGGAAACCGGAGCUAAUACCGGAUAAUAUAUUGAACCGCAUGGUUCAAUAGUGAAAGACGGUUUUGCUGUCACUUAUAGAUGGAUCCGCGCCGCAUUAGCUAGUUGGUAAGGUAACGGCUUACCAAGGCAACGAUGCGUAGCCGACCUGAGAGGGUGAUCGGCCACACUGGAACUGAGACACGGUCCGGACUCCUACGGGAGGCAGCAGUAGGGAAUCUUCCGCAAUGGGCGAAAGCCUGACGGAGCAACGCCGCGUGAGUGAUGAAGGUCUUCGGAUCGUAAAACUCUGUUAUUAGGGAAGAACAAAUGUGUAAGUAACUAUGCACGUCUUGACGGUACCUAAUCAGAAAGCCACGGCUAACUACGUG